UGAGGAAUAUUGGUCAAUGGUCGGGAGACUGAACCAGCCAAGCCGCGUGAGGGAGGAAGGUACAGAGUAUCGUAAACCUCUUUUGUCAGGGAACAAAGGCGGGGACGUGUCCCCGGAUGAGUGUACCUGAAGAAAAAGCAUCGGCUAACUCCGUGCCAGCAGCGCGGUAAUCGCUCUGU
This 179-nucleotide ribosomal RNA is filed under the name uncultured bacterium. RNAcentral describes it as "partial 16S ribosomal RNA". It matches the Rfam family "Bacterial small subunit ribosomal RNA", at positions 355 to 533 of the family's 1533-position model. The record is from RNAcentral.